This is a long non-coding RNA of Phyllopteryx taeniolatus (common seadragon), 2422 nucleotides long. RefSeq lists it as uncharacterized. The record is from RefSeq and is a predicted model, not a curated record. NCBI's taxonomy places the organism in Eukaryota, Metazoa, Chordata, Actinopteri, Syngnathiformes, Syngnathidae. The transcript is spliced from 4 exons.
CGGUCUGACGCCAAGCCUGUGGUGCGACUCAUCUCCUAGCCCCCUUUAUCCUCCCCAGGUAAUCACAGAAGCCUCUGGUCCACUCACCAGUUAUACUCCCAGCCAAGCAUAAACAUUGUGGGCCACCUGCGAGACCAAACAGCAGGAGAAGUCACGAGCGCAAUUUUUCGCAAACCGCGUGAACAUCAACUUUCCUUAUGUAGUCCUUUUCUGUUUUCAUUUUUUUCAUCUUUUUCCUCGACUCAACCUGCCUCCUUUUCUCCUGGGACAACAGAGACAGAUCAUGCCCGGACUGGUAACCACAUGAUCAAUGAUUCGGAGAAUCUCGACAUUGUUGGACUCCCUGUGAUGGUAUGGCUGCGGAGAGCUGCAACCCCAAGGAGCGACCUCAAACGUGGAGACGAAUGUGCCCCAGCGGAGAUAAGGAAAGAAACGAGAGGGUAACACAGAGAGUAAGAAAAAAACAACAAUCCAGCCUGCACCUUGUUGUCCAUUCACGUCUGGGCCUCCAACUUGAGCCAGGCCCAUCGCCACCAGCACCUGAUGCCUGCUUCAAGCUGUGCCACAUGAAAAGCAUCCUCCUCUUUAAGCACUCUCAUUCUAGAAAAGAAUUGACUAAAAUCAUUGUCUGUUUCACUUCGUUUUUCACUAUUACCAACUUCAAAGGCUAAUCCCGAAGGCAUCCUCCAGGAAAAUAUUAAGUGCAAUAUUUUUCUGUCUUUAUUGGCCAUUUCUGAAUUUGAAAAUAGUUCACUCUGUGUUGUGACAUAAUCCCUAACAUCGCUCCGUCGCUUAAUACAUUUAAGUUUAACAUCCGUAAAUGAAUUAGACAAAUGUCAGCGCGUUUCCUAAUGAAUACAAGAUGUACUAGUGGAUCAACUCUAGGCACGACAAUCAUUCGGGCUGGCUUAUCUAGUGUUAAUACCUAUGUCCGGGAAGCCCAAUGGAAGAUGUUGUGUGAGGUCAUGUGACUUUCUUGCCUCGUUUGAUUAGUGAACUAGACUUAAACGUCACUAGCGCUUAACCUGGAUUGGCGCAAACAGCGAAGUCGUAGUCUUGCGCACGAAAUAGUUGAUAAAUAAGCAAUAAUUGAUAAAUAAAAGUAGCGAGCAACAUUUAGAUCAUUGUAACGCAGUAAACGUACUGUUACUUCUUAACAGCAGCAGCGGCGGAAGUGUUUUUUCUUGUGUCGUCAACUCCUGUGACUCGCAUAUUAGUCCACCGCGGAGUAAUAUUCAGAAAUUAAAUCUGUGUGGAUGGUGGACGUGCGGAAUAGAUCUAGCUGCCAGCGUUCAAGGAGUACGAAACAGCCUAUGACGUCAGUGACGGCGACCCCCCUCACCCCUUCCAGGAAAAACUCAUCGGAUCUAUACGAUUCACGUAAAUGCGUUCAAAACGGCGAAUUUCGCCGAAAGACGUCUGAUUUGCAUGUAUGAUUACAGUUUAUUAGAUGAAAUAAACAGUUUUAAGUUUACAUGCACUUGACCUUUUCAGUGUUUAUACACAAUUGCAAUAUAUUUUACUUUUGUACUACAUAUAUACAAAUAAGUCACAGUAUGCACAUAUUUUUGUUUUCAGAUGCUUAAAAAUGGGAUGGGACAUACAACAUAUUUUGACAGGGCAUCAAAAAUAAAUAUUUCAAAACUGUCCAAAUUUACUUUUGAAUUAUUUGUGUAUUUUCAAAUCAAAUCGAAUUGCAAGCCUAAGGAAAAUUAAUGAGUGACUGGUGUCCAAGAAGGAGUCAUUUUUAGUACACUACAUGGAAAAAUGCAAUAAAUGAUACCACAAAGUCACAGUUGAUUUUAGUGAAUUAGGGAUAAGGUUAUGUUUACAUGCAAGAAAGCAGAGUACUCCACAUUCAGCGGUACACAUCAGUACGCUCGGUUAUUUCCUGCUUCUGUUGGCCAUUCUGCCAGAGGAGGUGAUUCCUCCACACUCCACGAUGUCUUCAGAUACUCGACUAUUUUUAGCUCCCUCAUUCAAACAUACUUGCCCUCCUCUUGACCGCCCGCCCGCCCUUUGAAACUCCCCAACUGAGUCAUUACCCUCUCCAUCACGUUUUCCCUGACACCUCAUUUGCUUUCUUUCUUUUGGUCAGCUUAAAAGUGAAACCUGUUCUGUUCAGCAACACUACUGGCAAAUGGACAAAAUGAAUCAAAGUAACAACAAUAAAUAACCCCCCCAAAAAACUAAACUAUUUACACUGCUUAUGAAAAGUCAACACACCCUUGUUCAAAUGCCAGUUUUUUUGUGAUGAAAAUGAAACCAAGAUAAAUCCUUUCAAAACGUCUUCCACCAUUAAUAUGUUCAUUCAUGAAAAACAUCCAGGUAAAGCUACAUUUUGUUGAACCUUUACAUUUUCGAGAAGGGAAGUAGAAAUAAACAGAUGCUGUGGCUACACAAGUGUACACACCAUCUUAUA